RNAcentral lists this ribosomal RNA (297 nucleotides) under Sania sp. 4 NM-2007. Its description in RNAcentral is "partial 16S ribosomal RNA". Lineage: Eukaryota; Metazoa; Arthropoda; Insecta; Hymenoptera; Braconidae. The record is from RNAcentral.
UUAAAUAGCUGCAGUAUAAAUAACUGUACUAAGGUAGCAUAAUAAUUAGUUUUUUAAUUGAAAACUAGAAUGAAAGAUUUAAUGAAAUAAAUACUGUCUCAAUUUAAAUAAAUAAACUUUUUAUUUAAGUAAAAAAUCUUAAAUAAAAUUAAAAGACGAGAAGACCCUAUAGAAUUUUAUAUUUAAUUGGGGAGAUUUUAAAAUUAAAAAAACUUUUAAUUAAAUUUACAUAUAUUAAUGAAUAAAAUAUAUUUUUUAAAAAAAUAAAAAAAAAUUACCUUAGGGAUAACAGCAUUA